This 3363-nucleotide small RNA is filed under the name Pongo abelii (Sumatran orangutan). Its description in RNAcentral is "processed transcript". Lineage: Eukaryota; Metazoa; Chordata; Mammalia; Primates; Hominidae. The record is from RNAcentral.
GGCGGCGGCGGCGGCGGCGGCGGCCCGCUCCAGCCAUGCCGAAUAAAAACAAGAAGGAGAAAGAAUCACCAAAAGCAGGGAAGAGUGGGAAAAGUUCAAAAGAAGGACAAGACACAGUAGAAUCAGAGCAAAUUUCCGUCAGGAAAAACAGCCUUGUUGCUGUCCCGUCUACAGUAUCUACUAAAAUAAAAGUACCAGUCUCUCAGCCCAUAGUGAAGAAAGACAAACGGCAAAAUUCUUCAAGGUUUAGCGCAAGCAAUAAUAGAGAACUUCAAAAACUACCAUCCUUAAAAGCCUUUUCAUCUCUCGCAGUUUGCUUGGCAUUUCACCAUUUGAAAGAAAUCAGUAUCAUCAGUACUUCUGGAGUUUGCACUAUGCUCUGCUUAUAGAUUGUGUAUAGUUACCUGCUAAGAUGGUCCUAAGCACAUGUCCAUGGCCUCGGUUCAGAGUAUACUUAAUGCUCCCUAUUCAGUCUUUCUGUUCCCAUGCUCCAGUCCGUGAAGUCUAGAGUAAAAUAAGAAAUUGGCAUUUAUAUACAUCUCCCCUCCUCAUCUUUAACUCUUCUGAAGAAAAGAGUUUUAGUAUCACACUCAUAAGAAAUUUCAUCUUUAAAAGUUAGUAUUACAGGCGCAGUGCCUCACACCUGUAAUACCAGCACUUUGGGAGGCCAAAGUGGGUGGAUCACCUGAGGUCAGGAGUUCAAGACCAGCCUGGCCAACAUGGCGAAACCCCAUCUCUACUAAAAAUACAAAAAUUAGCCAGCGUGGUGGCGGGUGCCUGCAAUCCCAGCUACUCGGGAGGCUGAGGCAGGAGAAUCAUUUAAACCUGGAGACAGAGGUUGCAGUGAGCCGAGAUCACGCCACUGCACACCAGCCUGGGCAGCAGGGUGAGACUCUGUCUCAAAAAAAAAAAAAAAAAAGUUAGCGAUAUCUGUGGUUAAUCUCAAAUAGGGUGGCUUUACAUGUCAUUUCCCUUUAGUUGUUUUUAAAUGCAGAUGUUGCUUUAAUUAAAUAAUAUUUGAAAUAAGUGGGGUCCCAACUAUAACCUUAUAUCUUAUUGUUUUUAAAUGUUGAUAUUUUGGUGUUUUCAGUAGAAUUUGAGCUGUUGACAGUGAUUAGGUUUUUUCAGUUUCUUUGUCAUCGUUGUAUGUGACCUCGUUAUAAUACACAUGGAUUUUUGUCUGCUGGUUGUGUUACUCAUGAGCAAUGUGUUCUAAUUAUGGUAUUUUAACUUAUAACUUAUGAAAACAGUAAUGUUUCACUCUAGGGAACAAGUCCUGAAGAACCCUCAAGCCCUAAAGUACCACCUCCACUUCUUCCUGAGUUACUGGUUCUUAUUCUUGGUGGGCUUCAAGGAAGAGGUGGGUGGUGAGGGUGUCUGUAUAUGUGUGUUUACAUUUAUAGACAGUUUCUGCACAUACAUAAUUAGGAAUGGGUUGUCGGUUUUGGUUUUUUUCCCAGCUUUAUGUAGUUGAUCAGACAUCUCAAAGGGGGUAGCAUUUGAUAAUUGCUCUCUUGGAACUCUGAAGCCUUUGCAUGGAGCAGUGUUCACCCUGGGUAACCUGUGGCCCCUGGGGUCACAGAGCUGCUUUCCAGGGGGUUUGCAAGGCCAUCACUGCCUCAUAAGAUUACCAAGAUCUAAUUUACCUCUUUUGCUGUGUGUACGUUUGCCCUGGUGGUGCAAAGGCAAUGGCGAGUAACGUGGCGCCUUUCUUUCAUCAAGCAGGACAGCGGUGUUCAGCUAGCAGCACACCAGUCUGACCCAAGAAUGUCCUUGAUAAAGCAUGAAGUUACUGGUUUUUUAAAUCUCAACUCUUUUGUAUACCUUUUUAAUUUUGUUUUUGUUUGGGUUUGUUUUUAGUUUUGUUUUCGUUUGGGUUUGUUUUUGUUUGGGUUUUUGGUUGCCCAGGCUGGAGUGCAAUGGCGCAAUCACAGCUCACUGCAGCCUCAACCUCCCCAGCUCAAGCAUUCCUCCCACCUCAGCAUCCUGUGUAGCUGGGACUACAGGCAAGCACCACCAUACCCAGCGUGGUUUUUUUUUUGUUGUUGUUGUUGUUUGUUUGUUUGUUUUUCGGUAGAGCUGAGGUCUCACUGGGUUGCUCAGGCUGGUGUCAAACCCCUGGGCUCAAAUGAUCCUCCUGCUUUGGCCUCCCAGAGUGCUGCGAUUAGAGGCCUGAGCCACUGCACCCAGCCUCCUUUUUAAUUUUGCACGACGAAAUGCGGAGUUCACAUAAAGCCCUUCUAGCAUGCUGAAGUGUGAUGGCCGUCUCGAAGAAAAGUGCCCAUGUGAUGUGUGAGUUAUGAGCCAAAAUAGCCACUUUUUCCAGGAACUUUAAAUUAUGAGAAUAGUAAUGUAAAAUCAUUUUUACUUGACAGAACAAAAAGCAGACAAACUGUGGAUAUUAAGACUUAAAUAUUUGGCUGAUAUUUUCUAGAAAAUCUAUGAAGUGAGCUUAUCAAUUCAGGGGAAAACAACUGCGACACUGUUUUUGGCCCAUGAUAAAAUUUGAGCUUUCAAGAAAAAUUUGAAAUUUGGAGAACUUUUAUCUGCCAGUGUAAAUGUGGCAGCUCCCAGUGCCACAGACUCUUCUGCUGACAGGGGUGGUGACAUUAGCAAGUGGGGUUUCUUGAUGCAUACAGUGGAAGGUCACACACCACAUGCAGCAGUGUGUUCUCAGUGACCAACAAACGAUGCUACAUACGAGCGUGGGUGAAGAGCCACCAAAGUGUAAGACACACUGCCGGGUGUUCAUGUAACUGACAGGUUCAUCAACAUGGUUUCAGAUUCCUCAUUGCAACUAAUCUAUAAGGAACUAUCCGUUGUUGAAUUUUAGCAUAGGCAAAGAAGAACAUCGGCAAUUUUUUGAGAAGCAUUGAAACCUCCCUUUUCCCACCAGACAUGUCUGUCUGAGCCUGGGGUGUUUCUUUACAUAUACUUGAACCAGAAUAGCAUAUCACAGCAAGUUGAACACAGAAGCACGUCGGCAGUUCUGCCUGUCUUCUGUUGAGUAUUGAAGAUACGUGCAAAAAUGUACAACAGGGCCAUUUUCUUGCUGGUUUCUUUUUGAAAAUAAGGUUAUUUUCAUAAAAUGUUACUUAACAUGAAGUGAACCUGUUGCUAAUUUAAGUGAAUAAGUAAAUAUUUUUAAAAUUUUCAAAUAUGGUCAAUAUCAAUGGAUAUAACCCCCAUAAUCAAAGCUCUUUAGGGCUCUCCAUACUUUCUAAGAAUGUAAAUACGUCUUGACACCAAAAAAAUGGAAAACACUUGGACUUAGAAAUUUUUCUCGAAUGGGCUGGAUGUGACCCUGACCCUGUUUUUACCAAGCCUCCUUGGUUUUUCCCCUCUUUUCUCCAAAAAAAAAAA